AUCCAGCUGAAGAGUCCCAAAAAGGACGAAACGUGCUUCCUGGAU
Molecule: non-coding RNA, 45 nt
Filed under: Schistosoma mansoni
Lineage: Eukaryota; Metazoa; Platyhelminthes; Trematoda; Strigeidida; Schistosomatidae
Source: RNAcentral